This 482-nucleotide ribosomal RNA is filed under the name uncultured bacterium. RNAcentral's name for it is "partial 16S ribosomal RNA". It matches the Rfam family "Bacterial small subunit ribosomal RNA", at positions 28 to 507 of the family's 1533-position model. The record is from RNAcentral.
GACGAACGCUGGCGGCGUGCUUAACACAUGCAAGUCGAACGCUGAAGCUCAGCUUGCUGGGUGGAUGAGUGGCGAACGGGUGAGUAACACGUGAGUAACCUGCCCUCUUCUUUGGGAUAACGCCCGGAAACGGGUGCUAAUACUGGAUAUUCACUGAUUCUCGCAUGGGGGUUGGUGGAAAGGUUUUUUCUGGUGGGGGAUGGGCUCGCGGCCUAUCAGCUUGUUGGUGGGGUGAUGGCCUACCAAGGCUUUGACGGGUAGACGGCCUGCGAGGGUGACCGGUCACAUUGGGACUGAGAUACGGCCCAGACUCCUACGGGAGGCAGCAGUGGGGAAUAUUGCACAAUGGGCGAAAGCCUGAUGCAGCGACGCCGCGUGAGGGAUGGAGGCCUUCGGGUUGUAAACCUCUUUCGCUCAUGGUCAAGCCGCAGCUUUGGGUUGUGGUGAGGGUAGUGGGUAAAGAAGCGCCGGCUAACUACGUG